AGAAAUUGCUGCAUUUAUCAUUAAUCCUCUCUCCUAAAAAAACAUGUUCCCAGUAGUUCAGCAGUGGGAGAGACAACCCUCCCCUUCUGCCUCCUCCGUCAUCCGGGAAAGGAGUGCUAGAGAAAAUACAACCAGCCGGGUGGGAAGUUACUACACUCACAGGCAGUGAAGUUUCGGGGUGUCAGAGACGUGAAGGACUGGUCUUGGCCCAUAUGAGUUCCUUCCCGGCCCGUCAAUCAGCACCUGGCGUUUCCAGGGCAGGAAUGUAAGCUCCCUUUACUGUGGCCCAGAAGAGGUCAAGUUUCAUAAGAAGCACUCAGCAAAUGUUUAUUUGUUCGCUGAAAGGUAAUCAGAAAGUGCUGUCGCGCGCACCUCGCCAGCAAGGAGCACACAACACUCAGGAUUCUUCUGAUGCACGCUUUAUUGCAGUUUCUUCUACAAUCUUCAAUGGCGGAAAGACCCCGAGCCGGAUGCAAGCCUGCCUUUAUAUCCACCCGGGCGUCGUGGCCUGUUUCUAUUGGUCAAUGCCAGCCUGCAUCAUUCUGACGAGCCAAGCGCCUCAUCUGCGCAUGCGCAAACCACCGUCGCCGGCGGACUCAAACCCUGAAUUCAUGUAGGGCAUGAAGAACCCGGAAAUAAUGGUGCGUGACAAAGUGCCUCACAGAGAAGAAGAGAUUUGAGUUGGCCUUGACGAAACACGAGGAGAAAAAUCAAGAGGGAAGGAAGGAGCCCAAGAGGGAGGGCAUGAUGACUUCAGGUGCGCUGAGACGGAGUUCCCGGCAGCAGCUCCCUCCACCACUGUCCAGCUGUCACCGCCCUGCUCCACAGAAGAGUUUUCUGAGGUCAGUGACAGCACGAUGGCCCGACUCCUGCUGCAACUUCCAAAAACAAGACUCACCCCCAGAAUUCUCAUUUCUAAGACCACUCGGAUCUUCUUUCUCUGACCUGCCCUCACUACCAGUCUUUUUUAAUUUGUGCUUUCUCCUCUGGAUGGAUAUAUCUUCGCUUGUGGUCUCACCUGUUUCUUACAAGCUGAUAAUUCUGAAGAUCCACCUCUAGCUCUGAACUCAGUUCUGAGUUUCAGAUGAUUUGGCUCCAUCUAUCUGGGUGUGCAGAGGCCCCUAAGUAAACAAGUCUAAAUCCAAAUCCAUCUGUUUCUCACCUCUUCCCUAAAUUCUCCCUCCCUGAGAAAAUGCCUAGAUGUUUAUCAACCUAAGAGUUACCCACAAUUUUAUCACCAAGCCAAGGCAGUAAAUAAUCCCAAAGAUACAGAGUAAUACAGGGGAUGCGUGUGACACCUCUGAAAACAAGCAAGCAAAAACACUGAAGAAUAACCCGAAAGAUUAUUGAAUAAAGAAGCAUGCUAAAAUAGUGAAUUUAAGCGGUAUCUUUGAGACAACUUGGGGAAGACCAGACAAGCCUAACAAUUAAGAAAUAAUUAACUGAUGGUAUUUGCUUGGAUUCAGUUUGCUUAGUUAGGUCUAGUAUUUCCAAUUGAAAAGAUCAAAGGACGUCAUUACCUGGAAUGUGGUAUUUACUAUGGGCUUGGUGGACUUGCUGUUGGAUCUGCCCAGCGUAGCAGGAACAUGCUGUACAGGAGUGAGAGAUUCGCAACUUUUCCUGCUUGCUGUGGAGAGGACCUUACUGGGGCAGACACCACAGUGUAAGAGUCCUGCAGGAACCAGAGGAAAAGCCAGGAAGAGAAGGCAGAUGCUAAGAAACCUCACUUGUUCCCUGCACUAAGCAAAGUCAUGUCACUUUUGACACAUCAUUCCAAAAUGGAAGAGAACUAGCCCAGGGAUUUAGCUCAGUGCACCACACCUGCCUGCCAAGCACAAGGUCCUGAGUUCAGUCCCCAGAAACCAAAAAAAAAAAAGAAAGAGAAAGAACUGGAUUCUAGUCAAUAUCCCCAGGCCCGAUACAUAGAUUAUUCAUAUUCUACCCAGUCUGGCCUUGGUCAAAAGACUUAAAUUUUCUGAGACUAUUUCCAGAUCUAAAAAUGGACCAUCUCACAGUUAAAAAAAAAAGUCAACUCAAAAAUCAAGCUCAGGCUGGGGCUGGUGGCCCAAGCCUUUAAUCCCAGCACUUGGUAGGCUGAGGCAGAAGGAUCACUGCACGUUCGAGGCCAGCCAGAGCUACACAGUGAGACCCUGUCUCAAAACAAAACAAAAGUCAAGCUCAAAAGAGAUGGCUAAGUGUUCGAAAUUUCCAGUCCUGCCAGCUGAUUUGUGGAAUGUUCAAAUAUAACUUUCCAGUUGCCAAAAAAAAGUGGAGUAAUGUUAGCUUACAUUUCCAGGAAAUAUCAAGUGAAGCAAUUUGGAAAAUCCACCUGCUGUGCUUCAGCCCGAAUGGAUAACAAUAAACGAUCCAUUUUUCCUCUGGAAUCUAACUUCUACUGAAUUAAUGUUUUUACGAAACAAGAGCGUGGCAGUAAAUAUGAUGAGUUAUAGUCCUACUUGCUGCUAGCAGCGGCCCCUGCUUUCUUUACGCCGAAGCUCGAGUAAGACACCCGGCCUCUAAAGCAGCGAGGUCCACAGAUGCUCCUUUCCAUUCCUGGCCCCUCUCCAACAGCCAGCCCCGAAUUGCAAGAAUUGCAUUAGCGCGAUCAGAAUCGGUAGAGGACCUCGGGGGUGUUCUAGGAAUCCGUGCUCCUUGUCCUCACAGGUUCACGGCCCGGGGCCGCAGGCCUCCACACCCCAAAGUCUUUGAAGGACACCCGCGUGCUUCUGAAAACAGAAAAAUCCCUAAAACUGCUGGUGAGGAUUUUCUCCUAGGGAUCCAGUACACAAUCCCACUGGGCUGAGGGCUGCCUAUGGUAAAGUAGAGCAGAACGUCUGCUCAGUACUCGCAGGUCACCUAUUCACUGGGUUAGUUCCCAACUCUGAGAACUCUGGCAGGCUCCAACACCUUUGGAAAUAACGGCACGCCGGUGCUUGGUCCCCUGGACAACUCUCUGUGUCAGAUGAGGUUUCUAGGAACUAGUGUGGUCACAUGACCCCGCAGUCACCUGGGGGCCUGGUGUCAGGCUGAAGCAGAAGGUGGCGGCAGAUGGUGCGGGGAGGUUAGGCAGAGCGCUCGCUGCCUGCUGUGAUCUGUUCCUGCCGCCAGCCUUGUUUCGGGGAGCAGAGCUCCUCUUGGGGGUGAUGAGCCAGCUCCAUGGGGUUCAGCCAGCCAGACCUGUCCCAUCCCAUUCCAGUCCCACCAGUGACCAGGCAAAGGUUGGCCCUGUGACUCAGGCUGGGCCUCGGACCUUUGGAAAUUCACUGAGGUUCACAGAAAAGCCUAUUUCCCUGUUCACCGAGCUCCAAAAUGUGUGUCUUGCUCACAACCUGGAGACUGCACACCACUGGGGGGGGGUCCCCAUACCACACCCAUGAAUCCCGGCCCAGCCCUGCCCACAGCCAAGUUUAGCCUUCAGGAGUUUCACAUUUAGCCAAGUUUCACGUUCAGGAGUUCAUGAAGUCUCGUUUUUGCUUAAGCUUCAUAGUUGGUCAUUCAUUCCCUAAAAGUUUCCCCACUAAUAAGCACUGCCCCUCAUCCCUCCCCAGUUUCUGCCUAACUUAUUGGGCCAGUUACUGUUCACUGUUAACUUGACUGGAUUAAGAGAGUCCCGGAGAGUCUCGUAGGGGUGCUGUACUCAUGAGUGGAUCAAUCCAGCUGAUGUUCUUCUGGGAGGGGGAGCCCAACUGGAGGACGUAGGACACUGGCUUGAGUCUUGGGAGAGUAUGUAUAUCUCUUCCUGCCUAGAGCCAACCAACCAUGGACUGAAGCCUCUGAAACCACAAGCCAAAAUAAACCUCUUCUCCUUUAAAUUAUAGGCAUCAGGUAUUCUGUCCCAGCAAUGGGAAAGCUGACCAAUAUACUUAUUCUGAUAAUUAUCUUCCUUCGUCUUGUGGUCUUACCUAAAAUUCUCCAUAUCUUCCCAGUCAUUCCUGACUACAGCCCUUUAAAUCCAGGUGAUGCCUAACUCUUAAAGGAAUGCUUUCCAUAUUAAACCAUGCUUUCUGAAGCCUCAAAGUCUUCCAUUGUAUGCACAUCCCAUCCCUCGAUCAUAUCCUAAGUGCUGUCUCAGUGCUAAUCUCAAUCUUGCUGUAACACUGUACUUUAAUCUGCCUUAGACUUACACGAAAUAUGCUUAUUUUGUUUCCUGGUCCAUCACCAUUUUAAACCAAAAAUAAGGGCUGGGGGUGUUGCUCAAGCCCCUGGGUUUGAUCCUCAGCACUGCCCAACCAACAAGCCAACCUCUGCAAUAGGGGCAGAAGGCAUUCAAAGUCCAGUACCUUCACAUUCAUUUCUUCACUCUUGGGGUUCCCCAGGACCUCAAGCACCUGUUGGUGGGGUUCCAACCCUGGGCCUUCAUCACAUCCUCACACUGAAGGUAUAGGAUCUGGCUGUUGCCUGUUCAGUCAAACAGCUGUAGGUUUCCUUGAAUUCCACUGCCUGGUGCUUGGUGAAGCCACACAGCCCGACUGUGGGAACUUUUCCUUCAGUAAUGGCCUGACGUCACUCUGAUUUACAAAGCCCAAAGGUGUUAUCUAUUAAUAUUUUCACACCUUCUGGAAACUUUAACCAAUAUCAAAAUUCAAUACCAUGCACAUGACAGGGUUGUGUGGCCAGUUUGUAUACUCAUAGGAUAAAAGAACCAAACCCCUUUGGACCCUAUUACGACACAUCAUUAUUCAAGUCCCCAGGACUGAGAUAGGACCUAUUGUUCAAUAUGUCAGGUGCAUGUUUAAUGUUCUAAUGUAGCUCAGCCUAGACUAGAAUGCAUCUCACAGGUGUGUGGAGCGGUGGGGAGGAGGGAUGCAUGCAUGUCCA
RNAcentral lists this long non-coding RNA (4818 nucleotides) under Fukomys damarensis (Damara mole-rat). RNAcentral's name for it is "lncRNA (ENSFDAG00000033193.1)". The record is from RNAcentral. Lineage: Eukaryota; Metazoa; Chordata; Mammalia; Rodentia; Bathyergidae.